Molecule: ribosomal RNA, 371 nt
Filed under: uncultured bacterium
Lineage: Bacteria
Description: bacterial SSU rRNA
Rfam family: Bacterial small subunit ribosomal RNA
Source: RNAcentral
GUAGGGGGCAAGCGUUGUCCGGAUUUACUGGGCGUAAAGAGCGCGUAGGCGGAGAUCUAAGCGUGGCCUGAAAGCCCCCGGCUCAACCGGGGAGUGCGGCUGCGAACUGGGUCUCUUGAGGACGAUAGAGGAGAGUGGAAUUCCUGGUGUAGCGGUGAAAUGCGUAGAUAUCAGGAGGAACACCCGAGGCGAAGGCGGCUCUCUGGGUCGUACCUGACGCUGAGGCGCGAAAGCGUGGGGAGCGAACAGGAUUAGAUACCCUGGUAGUCCACGCCGUAAACGAUGGGCACUAGACGCGGGUGGGAUCGACCCCUUCCGUGUCGCAGCUAACGCGAUAAGUGCCCCGCCUGGGGAGUACGGCCGCAAGGCUG